This 168-nucleotide ribosomal RNA is filed under the name Piper arcteacuminatum. Its description in RNAcentral is "5.8S ribosomal RNA". It matches the Rfam family "5.8S ribosomal RNA". Rfam says of the family: 5.8S ribosomal RNA (5.8S rRNA) is a component of the large subunit of the eukaryotic ribosome. It is transcribed by RNA polymerase I as part of the 45S precursor that also contains 18S and 28S rRNA. The record is from RNAcentral. Lineage: Eukaryota; Viridiplantae; Streptophyta; Magnoliopsida; Piperales; Piperaceae.
AAUACGACUCUCGGCAACGGAUAUCUCGGCUCUCGCAUCGAUGAAGAACGUAGCGAAAUGCGAUACUUGGUGUGAAUUGCAGAAUCCCGUGAACCAUCGAGUCUUUGAACGCAAGUUGCGCCCAACGCCCCCUUCGGGUGGUUGAGGGCACAUCUGCUUGGGCGUUAA